Molecule: ribosomal RNA, 253 nt
Filed under: uncultured bacterium
Lineage: Bacteria
Description: partial 16S ribosomal RNA
Rfam family: Bacterial small subunit ribosomal RNA
Source: RNAcentral
GACGAACCGGACGAACGUUAUUCGGAAUCAUUGGGCUUAAAGUGUGCGUAGGCGGCCUUGUAGGUGAGGUGUGAAAUCCCACGGCUCAACCGUGGAACUGCGCUUCAAACCACACGGCUUGAGUGAGGCAGAGGUAAGCGGAACUGAUGGUGGAGCGGUGAAAUGCGUUGAUAUCAUCAGGAACACCGGUGGCGAAGGCGGCUUACUGGGCCUUGUCUGACGCUGAGGAACGAAAGCUAGGGGAGCAAACGGG